UAUACUGUAUCUUUAAACGAAUGCUCACCUUGUUCAGAGCCCAGGUACUCUGCUCUGAGUGUAUUAGCGUGAGUGUCAAUAAGGGAGACACCUUCUCUCUUUGGAGCAGAUUCGAUGAAGAUCAAAAGGGACUUAGAUAAAAAAUAAAAUUUAUUCCGCCAGCAGGCAAAAAAAAUACAAACAAAUGAUAAAAAGAAAUCACAAUAAAGUAAGAAGUGUC
Pelobates cultripes (western spadefoot toad) is the source of this 220-nucleotide non-coding RNA. The record is from the annotation of a GenBank genome assembly. Lineage: Eukaryota; Metazoa; Chordata; Amphibia; Anura; Pelobatidae.